CCUACGGGAGGCAGCAGUGGGGAAUAUUGGGCAAUGGAGGAAACUCUGACCCAGCGACGCCGCGUGCGGGAUGAAGGCCUUCGGGUUGUAAACCGCUUUCAGUAGGGAAGAAGCGAAAGUGACGGUACCUACAGAAGAAGCACCGGCUAACUAUGUGCCAGCAGCCGCGGUAAUACAUAGGGUGCAAGCGUUGUCCGGAAUUAUUGGGCGUAAAGAGCUCGUAGGUGGUUCGUCACGUCGGAUGUGAAAAUCUGGGGCUCAACCCCAGACCUGCAUUCGAUACGGGCGAUCUAGAGUGUGGUAGGGGAGACUGGAAUUCCUGGUGUAGCGGUGGAAUGCGCAGAUAUCAGGAGGAACACCAAUGGCGAAGGCAGGUCUCUGGGCCAUUACUGACACUGAGGAGCGAAAGCGUGGGGAGCGAACAGGAUUAGAUACCCUGGUAGUCCACGCCGUAACGGUAGAGCACUAGUGUGGUACCGUACCUACGGUUCGUGCGCGCAGCUACGACAUAAGUCGCCCGCCCGUCGGGUAGGUACGAGUCGCGAGAAGUUAAACGUUAACGUAAAGGUAAAGUUAGUUACGGGUCGUUGAGACGUUGCCGACGGCGACGACGAGGGGAGGUUAGG
Molecule: ribosomal RNA, 626 nt
Filed under: uncultured bacterium
Lineage: Bacteria
Description: bacterial SSU rRNA
Rfam family: Bacterial small subunit ribosomal RNA (bases 1-522)
Source: RNAcentral